This 407-nucleotide ribosomal RNA is filed under the name uncultured bacterium. Its description in RNAcentral is "bacterial SSU rRNA". It matches the Rfam family "Bacterial small subunit ribosomal RNA", at positions 969 to 1375 of the family's 1533-position model. The record is from RNAcentral.
CCUUACCUGGCCUUGACAUCCAGAGAACUUUCCAGAGAUGGAUUGGUGCCUUCGGGAACUCUGAGACAGGUGCUGCAUGGCCGUCGUCAGCUCGUGUCGUGAGAUGUUGGGUUAAGUCCCGUAACGAGCGCAACCCCUAUCCCUGGUUGCUAGCAGGUAAUGCUGAGAACUCCAGGGAGACUGCCGGUGACAAACCGGAGGAAGGUGGGGAUGACGUCAGGUCAUCAUGCCCCUUACGGCCAGGGCUACACACGUGCUACAAUGGCGCGUACAGAGGGCUGCCAACUCGCGAGAGUGAGCCAAUCCCUUAAAACGCGUCGUAGUCCGGAUCGGAGUCUGCAACUCGACUCCGUGAAGUCGGAAUCGCUAGUAAUCGCGAAUCAGAAUGUCGCGGUGAAUACGUUCCC